GUCUACUCUUAGAUGAACUAUACCUGAUCCUGUGUUCUAAAGUGAUCUGCUUUUACAGCUACAUUUCUGUGUUCUUUUUUGUUGGUCUAUGGUUCUGAAUUGAGGCAGGUUUUUAUUUGCUUUUGAACAUCCAUUUCAUAGUGGUACAUGUGGCUUAGAUUAAUAUUACCAUACCAUAAAGACUGCCGAAAAUGGGUGUGGUACGGAAACCCAGAAAUGGCAUGAGUUCAACAUCAAACAUGGAUUAGAAUUUUAGCGGGGGAUCAAGUCAAGUCUGGAAGUGUUACAGGAUAGAAGAGUUGCCCUGUAGUUGAAAAAACACUGAGAGUGCAUUACUGUUAAGGUAUGAGGUAAAGUAAUAGAGUAAUGCAAAUUGUCUAAUG
This is a long non-coding RNA of Daphnia carinata, 383 nucleotides long. RefSeq lists it as uncharacterized. The transcript has 3 exons. The record is from RefSeq and is a predicted model, not a curated record. Lineage: Eukaryota; Metazoa; Arthropoda; Branchiopoda; Diplostraca; Daphniidae.